UAACAAGGUGUUGAAUGUAAUGGUUCCUAUUUGGGUUAAGAAAGAUGUGUUUGAGCCUAGUUACAAUGACUUAAAAUUCAUGGCCCCAAACUGCAAUUACUUUUGCACCAAC
MicroRNA precursor from Otolemur garnettii (small-eared galago), 112 nucleotides. The record is from Ensembl. NCBI's taxonomy places the organism in Eukaryota, Metazoa, Chordata, Mammalia, Primates, Galagidae.